GACGAACGCUGGCGGCGUGCCUAAUACAUGCAAGUCGAACGCAGUGGGGACGGGUGAGUAACACGUGGGUAACCUCCCAACAGAGGGGAUAACACUUGGAAACAGGUGCUAAACCGAUACGGGUGGAUGGACCCGCGGGGCAUUAGCUAGUUGGUGAGGGAACGGGUCACCAAGGCCACGAUGCAUAGCCGACCUGAGGGGUGGGUCGGGCACACUGUGGCUGAGACACGGCCCAGACUCCUACGGGAGGCAGCAGUAGGGAAUCUUCGGCAAUGGACGACAGUGUGACCGAGCAACGCCGGGUGAGUGAAGAAGGUUUUCGGAUCGUAAAACUCUGUUGUUAGAGAAGCGGUAUCUAACCAGAAAGCCACGGCUAACUACGUGCCAGCAGCCGCGGUAAUUC
Molecule: ribosomal RNA, 403 nt
Filed under: uncultured bacterium
Lineage: Bacteria
Description: partial 16S ribosomal RNA
Rfam family: Bacterial small subunit ribosomal RNA
Source: RNAcentral